UAUGUAGGGACCGAGCGUUGUCCGGAUUCAUUGGGCGUAAAGAGCUCGUAGGCGGCUGUUCAAGUCGAACGUGAAAACUCGGAGCUCAACUCCGAGCCUGCGUUCGAUACUGGACGGCUAGAGUCUGGUAGGGGGAUCUGGAAUUCCUGGUGUAGCGGUGGAAUGCGCAGAUAUCAGGAGGAACACCGGUGGCGAAGGCGGGUCUCUGGGCAGUAACUGACGCUGAGGAGCGAAAGCGUGGGGAGCGAACAGG
This 253-nucleotide ribosomal RNA is filed under the name uncultured bacterium. RNAcentral describes it as "partial 16S ribosomal RNA". It matches the Rfam family "Bacterial small subunit ribosomal RNA", at positions 524 to 776 of the family's 1533-position model. The record is from RNAcentral.